CUAUUUUCCAGGGUAAAGGAGUUGGUCUUUCACAAACCUAAUCACGGAAAAGACUCCAGAUAACGAGGUGUUAAAUUAACUGUAAAAAUGUGGCCACACUGAGCGAUCCCUUUAUGAGGUAUGAAUGAGUCCCUUGAGUGAAUCAGAAAGGAAGCAAUGCCAUAAUAUGAAGAAUAACAGGCCACACCUCUGAGUGACCUUUAAAAGUCAGUUCAGUGAGUCCAGGAGAGAGAUUCAAAGAACUCCACUCCUGAUGGGACUAAUAGAAGAUACACAGGGCUGGGGCAGGGAGGAGCGGGGGAUGAUGAAACUUUAGGAAAUCCUAUGGAUGUGGGAAAGCAGAAGCUUGAGGAGAGCACCUGCCAUAGAAUGGGGCUCCAGAAGUAAGGCUACUCGAGUUAAUCUAACAUGAGAUUGAAGGACAACUGAUGGACCAGACAGUGAGUUCCAUCGAUAUCCAAACAAUAUCAAGAAAUCUAAAAGAAACUCCCUGUCCCUCUUCCACUACCACCCUACCUCUGCGCAUUAUGUCCUGAGAUGCUUUAUGGAAGCUUUACUUGAGAUAAUGGACAAGAGUCACUUUGCAUAAUAAGGAUGGAACCCAUUAUAAAAAUUCUAGAAGAAAAAACAGUGGACUUGAGUCAAGAAAACUUGUUGCUAGAACCAAUCUACUUAAUGAUCGUGUGAUCUGAGGGGAAGGUCCCCAGCACAGUAAACUGGACCGUGUUGAUUCCCAUCAACAAGCAUUUAUUAUGGACUUAAUGUGUCAGAAUUGUGCUAGCCAUGGGAAAUGCCAUGCCAUCAAAGAUGAAGCACAUCCUUCUGUCAGUCAGUAAACAUCAAAAGUGGAAAGUGGCAGGCUCAGGUUAUAUAUAUAGAGAGAGAGAUCAUCUCCCCUGCUUUGGCAACAAUCUCCUUCUGCAAGCCCUUUGCCUGGAGCUGGGGCCGACCAAGGCUUCGCCAAGGAAGGUAUGUGAGCCACAGAAGCCUAAUUCUACAGGUCUAAGAGAAAAUGUAUCAAAGCACAAAAGUCCCCCAAACUGAUCGGGGCUUGUUGGUGGGCCCGUGUGUAUUUUCAUGUCUGAGUGCUGUCUUGUGAUCUCUACAUAACCUUUGCAACAGGAGCGCAUAUUUCACCCUUCCACACUAGCACUCCCAUUUUUUUUGUCAUUCCAAUCUCAUUUCCUGGGCUAUGUGGACUGCGGGCUCAGCAGUCGCUCGAGUCUGAAGUGACUCCUGGGACCUCCUUACUGUUCUAUAUGCAAAUAGGCCUGCACCUGGGCAGCAGAGCGGGCUUGCCGACAGUUUAGU
RNAcentral lists this long non-coding RNA (1311 nucleotides) under Monodelphis domestica (gray short-tailed opossum). RNAcentral describes it as "lncRNA (ENSMODG00000043591.1)". Lineage: Eukaryota; Metazoa; Chordata; Mammalia; Didelphimorphia; Didelphidae. The record is from RNAcentral.